Molecule: ribosomal RNA, 252 nt
Filed under: uncultured bacterium
Lineage: Bacteria
Description: partial 16S ribosomal RNA
Rfam family: Bacterial small subunit ribosomal RNA
Source: RNAcentral
UACGUAGGUGGCGAGCGUUAUCCGGAAUUAUUGGGCGUAAAGGGUGCGUAGGCGGCCGUUUAAGUUCAAGGUGAAAGCGUGGGGCUCAACCCCAUAAAGCCUUGGAUACUGGGCGGCUGGAGUACUGGAGAGGGUAGUGGAAUUCCAUGUGUAGCGGUAAAAUGCGUAGAUAUAUGGAGGAACACCGGAGGCGAAGGCGGCUACCUGGACAGUAACUGACGCUGAGGCACGAAAGCGUGGGGAGCAAAUAGG